Erythranthe guttata (spotted monkey flower) is the source of this 726-nucleotide non-coding RNA. The record is from RefSeq and is a predicted model, not a curated record. NCBI's taxonomy places the organism in Eukaryota, Viridiplantae, Streptophyta, Magnoliopsida, Lamiales, Phrymaceae.
UGCUUUGUUUGUUUUCUAUAUUGCUGCUAAGCCUCCCCCUCCUAACAUCUUUAUUAAGAUUGGAGGAAUUGGAGGGUUCAGAUUAGCCGAGGGAGUGGACGGCUCUGGUGCAUCGACGAAAAUAUUAAGCUGCAAUUGUUCAAUUGAUUUAAUAAUAGAAAAUAAGUCCAAGCUAUUUGGUCUUCACAUCAAUCCUCCAUUCAUUCAAUUGCUUUUUGGCCAUCUCCCUUUUGCAGUGUCAUAGAUGGAGGGUGGAGAAGUAUAUGGAGAGAGUGAUGAGACAACAAUAUUCAAUUUCAAAAUUGGGACAAGAAAUAAGGCAAUGUAUGGUGCAGGAAGAAACAUGCAAGACUUACUAGAAUCUGGUCAAGGAUUGCCUUUGCUUGUUAAAGUUAAAUUAAGAUCAAGUUUUCAUGUAAUUUGGGGAAUAUUCCAACCUAAAUUUCAUCAUCAACUCCAAUGUUUGGUUGUCUUGGCUGAUAAAUAUGACAAGAUACAUAGGACCCAAGUUUAUAAUAGCACUUGUAUAAGUAAUUUAUUAUAAUUAAUUCCUAGUAGUAUUAAAUAUUGUCAUCUAUACAAUUGUUCUUAUUAUUACAUUAUUAUGUAUAGGAUUGUUUAAUUAAGUAUUGUAUUUCAAAGAAUAAAAAAAAAAGGGAAGGAUUUGAGAGUUCUUAAGGGAAACUAUGUAUUUGUAGAAAAUAUAAAAGACGUUUUUUUUUUGGA